RNAcentral lists this ribosomal RNA (2906 nucleotides) under Escherichia coli. Its description in RNAcentral is "23S ribosomal RNA". It matches the Rfam family "Bacterial large subunit ribosomal RNA". The record is from RNAcentral. Lineage: Bacteria; Pseudomonadati; Pseudomonadota; Gammaproteobacteria; Enterobacterales; Enterobacteriaceae.
GGUUAAGCGACUAAGCGUACACGGUGGAUGCCCUGGCAGUCAGAGGCGAUGAAGGACGUGCUAAUCUGCGAUAAGCGUCGGUAAGGUGAUAUGAACCGUUAUAACCGGCGAUUUCCGAAUGGGGAAACCCAGUGUGAUUCGUCACACUAUCAUUAACUGAAUCCAUAGGUUAAUGAGGCGAACCGGGGGAACUGAAACAUCUAAGUACCCCGAGGAAAAGAAAUCAACCGAGAUUCCCCCAGUAGCGGCGAGCGAACGGGGAGCAGCCCAGAGCCUGAAUCAGUGUGUGUGUUAGUGGAAGCGUCUGGAAAGGCGCGCGAUACAGGGUGACAGCCCCGUACACAAAAAUGCACAUGCUGUGAGCUCGAUGAGUAGGGCGGGACACGUGGUAUCCUGUCUGAAUAUGGGGGGACCAUCCUCCAAGGCUAAAUACUCCUGACUGACCGAUAGUGAACCAGUACCGUGAGGGAAAGGCGAAAAGAACCCCGGCGAGGGGAGUGAAAAAGAACCUGAAACCGUGUACGUACAAGCAGUGGGAGCACAGAGCAAUCUGUGUGACUGCGUACCUUUUGUAUAAUGGGUCAGCGACUUAUAUUCUGUAGCAAGGUUAACCGAAUAGGGGAGCCGAAGGGAAACCGAGUCUUAACUGGGCGUUAAGUUGCAGGGUAUAGACCCGAAACCCGGUGAUCUAGCCAUGGGCAGGUUGAAGGUUGGGUAACACUAACUGGAGGACCGAACCGACUAAUGUUGAAAAAUUAGCGGAUGACUUGUGGCUGGGGGUGAAAGGCCAAUCAAACCGGGAGAUAGCUGGUUCUCCCCGAAAGCUAUUUAGGUAGCGCCUCGUGAAUUCAUCUCCGGGGGUAGAGCACUGUUUCGGCAAGGGGGUCAUCCCGACUUACCAACCCGAUGCAAACUGCGAAUACCGGAGAAUGUUAUCACGGGAGACACACGGCGGGUGCUAACGUCCGUCGUGAAGAGGGAAACAACCCAGACCGCCAGCUAAGGUCCCAAAGUCAUGGUUAAGUGGGAAACGAUGUGGGAAGGCCCAGACAGCCAGGAUGUUGGCUUAGAAGCAGCCAUCAUUUAAAGAAAGCGUAAUAGCUCACUGGUCGAGUCGGCCUGCGCGGAAGAUGUAACGGGGCUAAACCAUGCACCGAAGCUGCGGCAGCGACGCUUAUGCGUUGUUGGGUAGGGGAGCGUUCUGUAAGCCUGUGAAGGUGUACUGUGAGGUAUGCUGGAGGUAUCAGAAGUGCGAAUGCUGACAUAAGUAACGAUAAAGCGGGUGAAAAGCCCGCUCGCCGGAAGACCAAGGGUUCCUGUCCAACGUUAAUCGGGGCAGGGUGAGUCGACCCCUAAGGCGAGGCCGAAAGGCGUAGUCGAUGGGAAACAGGUUAAUAUUCCUGUACUUGGUGUUACUGCGAAGGGGGGACGGAGAAGGCUAUGUUGGCCGGGCGACGGUUGUCCCGGUUUAAGCGUGUAGGCUGGUUUUCCAGGCAAAUCCGGAAAAUCAAGGCUGAGGCGUGAUGACGAGGCACUACGGUGCUGAAGCAACAAAUGCCCUGCUUCCAGGAAAAGCCUCUAAGCAUCAGGUAACAUCAAAUCGUACCCCAAACCGACACAGGUGGUCAGGUAGAGAAUACCAAGGCGCUUGAGAGAACUCGGGUGAAGGAACUAGGCAAAAUGGUGCCGUAACUUCGGGAGAAGGCACGCUGAUAUGUAGGUGAAGUCCCUCGCGGAUGGAGCUGAAAUCAGUCGAAGAUACCAGCUGGCUGCAACUGUUUAUUAAAAACACAGCACUGUGCAAACACGAAAGUGGACGUAUACGGUGUGACGCCUGCCCGGUGCCGGAAGGUUAAUUGAUGGGGUUAGCGCAAGCGAAGCUCUUGAUCGAAGCCCCGGUAAACGGCGGCCGUAACUAUAACGGUCCUAAGGUAGCGAAAUUCCUUGUCGGGUAAGUUCCGACCUGCACGAAUGGCGUAAUGAUGGCCAGGCUGUCUCCACCCGAGACUCAGUGAAAUUGAACUCGCUGUGAAGAUGCAGUGUACCCGCGGCAAGACGGAAAGACCCCGUGAACCUUUACUAUAGCUUGACACUGAACAUUGAGCCUUGAUGUGUAGGAUAGGUGGGAGGCUUUGAAGUGUGGACGCCAGUCUGCAUGGAGCCGACCUUGAAAUACCACCCUUUAAUGUUUGAUGUUCUAACGUUGACCCGUAAUCCGGGUUGCGGACAGUGUCUGGUGGGUAGUUUGACUGGGGCGGUCUCCUCCUAAAGAGUAACGGAGGAGCACGAAGGUUGGCUAAUCCUGGUCGGACAUCAGGAGGUUAGUGCAAUGGCAUAAGCCAGCUUGACUGCGAGCGUGACGGCGCGAGCAGGUGCGAAAGCAGGUCAUAGUGAUCCGGUGGUUCUGAAUGGAAGGGCCAUCGCUCAACGGAUAAAAGGUACUCCGGGGAUAACAGGCUGAUACCGCCCAAGAGUUCAUAUCGACGGCGGUGUUUGGCACCUCGAUGUCGGCUCAUCACAUCCUGGGGCUGAAGUAGGUCCCAAGGGUAUGGCUGUUCGCCAUUUAAAGUGGUACGCGAGCUGGGUUUAGAACGUCGUGAGACAGUUCGGUCCCUAUCUGCCGUGGGCGCUGGAGAAUUGAGGGGGGCUGCUCCUAGUACGAGAGGACCGGAGUGGACGCAUCACUGGUGUUCGGGUUGUCAUGCCAAUGGCACUGCCCGGUAGCUAAAUGCGGAAGAGAUAAGUGCUGAAAGCAUCUAAGCACGAAACUUGCCCCGAGAUGAGUUCUCCCUGACUCCUUGAGAGUCCUGAAGGAACGUUGAAGACGACGACGUUGAUAGGCCGGGUGUGUAAGCGCAGCGAUGCGUUGAGCUAACCGGUACUAAUGAACCGUGAGGCUUAACCUU